Molecule: ribosomal RNA, 253 nt
Filed under: uncultured bacterium
Lineage: Bacteria
Description: partial 16S ribosomal RNA
Rfam family: Bacterial small subunit ribosomal RNA
Source: RNAcentral
UACGGGGGGGGCAAGCGUUGUUCGGAAUUACUGGGCGUAAAGGGCUCGUAGGCGGCCAACUAAGUCGGACGUGAAAUCCCCAGGCUCAACCUGGGAACUGCGUCCGAUACUGGAUGGCUUGAAUUCGGGAGAGGGAUGCAGAAUUCCAGGUGUAGCGGUGAAAUGCGUAGAUAUCUGGAGGAAUACCGGUGGCGAAGGCGGCAUCCUGGACCGACAUUGACGCUGAGGAGCGAAAGCUAGGGGAGCAAGCGGG